AGAGUUUGAUCCUGGCUCAGGACGAACGCUGGCGGCGUGCUUAACACAUGCAAGUCGAACGGGACGCCAUGGAAUGAGACUUCGGUCAAAGGAAAUGGUUGUCUAGUGGCGGACUGGUGAGUAACGCGUGAGGAACCUGCCUUUCAGAGGGGGACAACAGUUGGAAACGACUGCUAAUACCGCAUGAUAUGCACCCAUGGCAUCAUGGGAGUAUCAAAGAAUUAUCGCUGAAAGAUGGCCUCGCGUCUGAUUAGCUAGUUGGUGAGGUAACGGCCCACCAAGGCGACGAUCAGUAGCCGGACUGAGAGGUUGACCGGCCACAUUGGGACUGAGAUACGGCCCAGACUCCUACGGGAGGCAGCAGUGGGGAAUAUUGGGCAAUGGACGCAAGUCUGACCCAGCAACGCCGCGUGAAGGAAGAAGGCUUUCGGGUUGUAAACUUCUUUGACAGGGGAAGAGUAGAAGACGGUACCCUGAAAACAAGCCACGGCUAACUACGUGCCAGCAGCCGCGGUAAUACGUAGGUGGCAAGCGUUGUCCGGAUUUACUGGGUGUAAAGGGCGUGUAGCCGGGUUCGUAAGUCGGAUGUGAAAUCUGGAGGCUCAACCUCCAAACUGCAUACGAAACUGCGGAUCUUGAGUAUCGGAGAGGUAAUCGGAAUUCCUAGUGUAGCGGUGAAAUGCGUAGAUAUUAGGAAGAACACCAGUGGCGAAGGCGGAUUACUGGACGAUAACUGACGGUGAGGCGCGAAAGCGUGGGGAGCGAACAGGAUUAGAUACCCUGGUAGUCCACGCUGUAAACGAUCAAUACUAGGUGUGCGGGGACUGACCCCCUGCGUGCCGGAGUUAACACAAUAAGUAUUGCACCUGGGGAGUACGAUCGCAAGGUUGAAACUCAAAGGAAUUGACGGGGGCCCGCACAAGCGGUGGAUUAUGUGGUUUAAUUCGAAGCAACGCGAAGAACCUUACCAGGGCUUGACAUCCUACUAACGAGAUAGAGAUAUGUCAGGUGCCCUUCGGGGAAAGUAGAGACAGGUGGUGCAUGGUUGUCGUCAGCUCGUGUCGUGAGAUGUUGGGUUAAGUCCCGCAACGAGCGCAACCCCUAUUGUUAGUUGCUACGCAAGAGCACUCUAGCGAGACUGCCGUUGACAAAACGGAGGAAGG
RNAcentral lists this ribosomal RNA (1163 nucleotides) under termite gut metagenome. RNAcentral describes it as "bacterial SSU rRNA". It matches the Rfam family "Bacterial small subunit ribosomal RNA", at positions 8 to 1173 of the family's 1533-position model. The record is from RNAcentral.